This 299-nucleotide ribosomal RNA is filed under the name Allogromiina sp. A276. RNAcentral's name for it is "partial 18S ribosomal RNA". It matches the Rfam family "Eukaryotic small subunit ribosomal RNA", at positions 1207 to 1448 of the family's 1831-position model. The record is from RNAcentral. Lineage: Eukaryota; Foraminifera; Allogromiidae.
GGGAAAUCUUACCGGGUCCGGACACACUGAGGAUUGACAGGUAACUGUAGUGUUAUUAAUAAUUUAUUAUUUUAAUGCUCUUCAAAUAUGCUAGUCCUUUCAUGAUUGUGUGAUAGGUGGUGCAUGGCCGUUCUUAGUUCGUGGAGCAAUCUGUCUGCUUAAUUGCGCCAUUAAUAGUGGAACGUACCCGUUUGCGCAACGUUAUGCUAUAUUUUGUUAUUUUUUAUUGGUUAAUCCCUUUAUUAAAUGCUUAAUAUUAGUUAAUGUUUACCGCUGGGUUCAGUGUCCCCUGGCAACGA